UGCCAGCCGCCGCGGUAAUACGGAGGGUGCGAGCGUUGUUCGGAAUUACUGGGCGUAAAGCGCGCGUAGGCGGAUUAGUCAGUCAGAGGUGAAAUCCCAGGGCUCAACCCGGGAACUGCCUUUGAUACUGCUAGUCUUGAGUUCGAGAGAGGUGAGUGGAAUUCCGAGUGUAGAGGUGAAAUUCGUAGAUAUUCGGAGGAACACCAGUGGCGAAGGCGACUAACUGGACUGAUACUGACGCUGAGGUUCGAAAGUGUGGGUAGCAAACAGGAUUAGAUA
RNAcentral lists this ribosomal RNA (279 nucleotides) under uncultured bacterium. Its description in RNAcentral is "partial 16S ribosomal RNA". It matches the Rfam family "Bacterial small subunit ribosomal RNA", at positions 506 to 784 of the family's 1533-position model. The record is from RNAcentral.